This 453-nucleotide ribosomal RNA is filed under the name uncultured Porphyromonadaceae bacterium. RNAcentral's name for it is "partial 16S ribosomal RNA". It matches the Rfam family "Bacterial small subunit ribosomal RNA", at positions 341 to 792 of the family's 1533-position model. The record is from RNAcentral. Lineage: Bacteria; Pseudomonadati; Bacteroidota; Bacteroidia; Bacteroidales; Porphyromonadaceae.
ACGGGAGGCAGCAGUGAGGAAUAUUGGUCAUCGGGCGGAAGCCUGAACCAGCCAAGUCGCGUGAAGGAUGAAGGUAUUAUGUAUUGUAAACUUCUUUAGCAGCAGAGUAAUAAGGGGGUCGAGACCUCCGAUGCAAGUAUGCUGAAAAUCAGGAUCGGCUAACUCCGGGCCAGCAGCCGCGGUAAUACGGAGGAUCCGAGCGGUAUCCGGAUUUAUUGGGUUGAAAGGGUGCGCAGGCGGCUUUUUAAGUCAGUGGUUAAAUCGUGAGGCUCAACCUCAUCACGCCAUUGAUACUGGAGAGCUUGAUUGCGGUUGAGGUUGGCGGAAUCCGUCGUGUAGCGGUGAAAUGCAUAGAUAUGACGAAGAACCCCGAUUGCGUAGGCAGCUGACCAAGCCGUAAAUGACGCUCAUGCACGAAAGUGCGGGGAUCGAACAGGAUUAGAUACCCUGGUA